RNAcentral lists this long non-coding RNA (252 nucleotides) under Gossypium raimondii (Peruvian cotton). RNAcentral describes it as "long non-coding RNA (GRAI_LNC007410)". The record is from RNAcentral. Lineage: Eukaryota; Viridiplantae; Streptophyta; Magnoliopsida; Malvales; Malvaceae.
UGGCGUUGGAAAGGUAGGAUAAGAAGAAUAGGGAAGUCACUUGAUCGGGAAUCACAAAUAACGAAUAAACAAAAAAAUUCCAAUACUUCACUUUUUUUUAUACUCGAACUUUUUUUUUACUUCAAUUUUUUUUCAAUUACAAUAGAAUAAAUACACUUGAGUGCCUCUUUCUUUUUUUAUGCACGAUUUUUUUUCAUAAACCUAUCUUUCGGGAUAGCUACGAACGUCAGUGCUCCUCGUUUUGCAAACUCU